AGCUCCAAUAGCGUAUAUUAAAGUUGUUGCAGUUAAAAAGCUCGUAGUUGGAUGUCUGGUACGGUGCACCUGGUCCGCCCCGUUUAGGUGUGUGAGAACCGGCGUGCGCCUGCCAUCCUUCUAGAGAGCGGCUCUGCCCUUCACUGGGUUGGGGUCGCGAUCUAGAUCGUUUACUUUGAACAAAUUAGAGUGUUUCAAGCAGGCCGUAGCGCUUCUGAAUACAUUAGCAUGGAAUAAUGAGAUAGGACUUGGGUUCUAUUUUGUUGGUUUCUAGGACCGAAGUAAUGAUUGAUAGGGACCGUUGGGGGUGCUAGUAUUCCGCGGCCAGAGGUGAAAUUCUUGGAUUCCCGGAAGACUCACUAAUGCGAAAGCAUUCACCAAGGAGGUCUCCUUUAAUCAA
Molecule: ribosomal RNA, 400 nt
Filed under: phytoplankton environmental sample
Lineage: Eukaryota
Description: partial small subunit ribosomal RNA
Rfam family: Eukaryotic small subunit ribosomal RNA
Source: RNAcentral